GAGAAAUGAAAAUCAUUAUCAUAACCCCCCUCUUUGUUAUCGAAGUUGAUCUUAAUUGCGAUUGGAAUCAUACUACUUUCCGAUUUCUUUUUCAAGCUUUUGUGGUUUUCAUUAACAGACGUUGAAGGGUUUUGGGCGAAAAAGAAGUGGAAAACUCCCUUUUGCUAGCAAGGGUAGUGGUGCAAGAAUUAGGCGGGUUUGGAAGUAACCCUGCACCGGACUGGAAAGCACGGCAAUUGAUACC
This 244-nucleotide long non-coding RNA is filed under the name Olea europaea (common olive). Its description in RNAcentral is "long non-coding RNA (OEUR_LNC005048)". Lineage: Eukaryota; Viridiplantae; Streptophyta; Magnoliopsida; Lamiales; Oleaceae. The record is from RNAcentral.